This 243-nucleotide ribosomal RNA is filed under the name uncultured bacterium. Its description in RNAcentral is "partial 16S ribosomal RNA". It matches the Rfam family "Bacterial small subunit ribosomal RNA", at positions 524 to 768 of the family's 1533-position model. The record is from RNAcentral.
UACGAAGGGGCUAGCGUUGUUCGGAAUCACUGGGCGUAAAGGCGCGUAGGCGGCCGAUCAAGUCGGGGGUGAAAGCCUGUGGCUCACCACAGAAUUGCCUUCGAUACUGGUUGGCUUGAGACCGGAAGAGGUAAGUGGAACUGCGAGUGUAGAGGUGAAAUUCGUAGAUAUUCGCAAGAACACCAGUGGCGAAGGCGGCUUACUGGUCCGGUUCUGACGCUGAGGCGCGAAAAGCGGUGGGGA